Molecule: ribosomal RNA, 468 nt
Filed under: uncultured bacterium
Lineage: Bacteria
Description: partial 16S ribosomal RNA
Rfam family: Bacterial small subunit ribosomal RNA
Source: RNAcentral
GACGAACGCUGGCGGCGUGCUUAACACAUGCAAGUCGAACGGAAAGGCCCUGCUUUUGUGGGGUGCUCGAGUGGCGAACGGGUGAGUAACACGUGAGUAACCUGCCCUUGACUUUGGGAUAACUUCAGGAAACUGGGGCUAAUACCGGAUAGGAGCUCCUGCUGCAUGGUGGGGGUUGGAAAGUUUCGGCGGUUGGGGAUGGACUCGCGGCUUAUCAGCUUGUUGGUGGGGUAGUGGCUUACCAAGGCUUUGACGGGUAGCCGGCCUGGGAGGGUGACCGGGCACAAUGCGACUGAGAGACGGACCAGACUCCUACGGGAGGCAGCAGUGGGGAAUAUUGCACAAUGGGCGGAAGCCUGAUGCAGCAACGCCGCGUGCGGGAAGACGUCCUUCGGGUGGUAAACCGCUUUCGGCUGUGACGAAGCGUGAGUGACGGUAAUGGGUAAAGAAGCACCGGCUAACUACGUG